RNAcentral lists this ribosomal RNA (407 nucleotides) under uncultured bacterium. RNAcentral describes it as "partial 16S ribosomal RNA". It matches the Rfam family "Bacterial small subunit ribosomal RNA", at positions 30 to 526 of the family's 1533-position model. The record is from RNAcentral.
AUUGAACGCUGGCGGCAGGCCUAACACAUGCAAGUCGAGCGGAGCGGCAGACGCGUGCGUAAUGCUUAGGAAUCUGCAUGGUACUGGUGGAUAACGUCCGCUACUGGGCGCUAAUGCCGAAUACUAUCUGCUUAGCCUAGGUCGGAUUAGCUUGUUGGUGGGGUAAAGGCAUACUAAGGCGACGACCCGUAACUGGUCUUUGAGGAUGAGCAGUCACACUGGAACGGAGACACGGUCCAGACGCCUACGGGAGGCAGCAGUGGGGAAUAUUGGACAAUGGGCGAAAGCCUGAUCCAGCCAUGCCGCGUGUGUGAAGAAGGUCUUCGGAUUGUAAAGCACUUUAAGUUGGGAGGCGUUACCAACAGAAUAAGCACCGGCUAACUUCGUGCCAGCAGCCGCGGUAAUUC